RNAcentral lists this ribosomal RNA (462 nucleotides) under uncultured bacterium. RNAcentral describes it as "bacterial SSU rRNA". It matches the Rfam family "Bacterial small subunit ribosomal RNA", at positions 30 to 484 of the family's 1533-position model. The record is from RNAcentral.
AUUGAACGCUGGCGGCAUGCCUAAUACAUGCAAGUCGAGGGGCAGCAGGGUGUAGCAAUACAUCGCUGGCGACCGGCGCACGGGUGCGUAACACGUAUGCAACCUACCUUUAACUGGGGAAUAGCCCUCCGAAAGGAGGAUUAACACCGCAUAACAUCACGAGACGGCAUCGCCUUGUGAUCAAACCUCCGGGGGUUAAAGAUGGGCAUGCGUCCGAUUAGCUAGUUGGCGGGGUAACGGCCCACCAAGGCGACGAUCGGUAGGGGGUCUGAGAGGAUGAUCCCCCACACUGGUACUGAGACACGGACCAGACUCCUACGGGAGGCAGCAGUAAGGAAUAUUGGACAAUGGUCGCAAGACUGAUCCAGCCAUGCCGCGUGCAGGAUGAACGAUCUAUGAUCUGUAAACUGCUUUUGUUCGGGAAUAAACCCCUUACGUGUGGAGGGCUGAAUGUACCGAAAG